CCUACGGGAGGCAGCAGUGGGGAAUUUUGGACAAUGGGCGCAAGCCUGAUCCAGCAAUGCCGCGUGCAGGAUGAAGGCCUUCGGGUUGUAAACUGCUUUUGUACGGAACGAAACGGUCUGCCCUAAUACGGUGGGCUAAUGACGGUACCGUAAGAAUAAGCACCGGCUAACUACGUGCCAGCAGCCGCGGUAAUACGUAGGGUGCGAGCGUUAAUCGGAAUUACUGGGCGUAAAGCGUGCGCAGGCGGUUAUAUAAGACAGAUGUGAAAUCCCCGGGCUCAACCUGGGACCUGCAUUUGUGACUGUAUAGCUAGAGUACGGUAGAGGGGGAUGGAAUUCCGCGUGUAGCAGUGAAAUGCGUAGAUAUGCGGAGGAACACCGAUGGCGAAGGCAAUCCCCUGGACCUGUACUGACGCUCAUGCACGAAAGCGUGGGGAGCAAACAGGAUUAGAUACCCUGGUAGUCCACGCCCUAAACGAUGUCAACUGGUUGUUGGGUCUUCACUGACUCAGUAACGAAGCUAACGCGUGAAGUUGACCGCCUGGGGAGGACGGUCCGGCGAGUUAGAACGUACGAAAGAAAGUUAGAGGCGNGAGAGNGCCGACGGACGACGACGAGGGAGGAGG
Molecule: ribosomal RNA, 626 nt
Filed under: uncultured bacterium
Lineage: Bacteria
Description: bacterial SSU rRNA
Rfam family: Bacterial small subunit ribosomal RNA (bases 1-542)
Source: RNAcentral